UAUUAGGUUGGUGUAAAAGUAAUUGCGGUUUUUGCCAUUACUUUCAGUGGCAAAAGCCUCAGUUGCUUUUGCACCAACCUAAUA
RNAcentral lists this microRNA precursor (84 nucleotides) under Cebus imitator (Panamanian white-faced capuchin). RNAcentral's name for it is "miRNA (ENSCCAG00000004885.1)". The record is from RNAcentral. Lineage: Eukaryota; Metazoa; Chordata; Mammalia; Primates; Cebidae.